Molecule: ribosomal RNA, 210 nt
Filed under: Escherichia coli
Lineage: Bacteria; Pseudomonadati; Pseudomonadota; Gammaproteobacteria; Enterobacterales; Enterobacteriaceae
Description: partial 23S ribosomal RNA
Rfam family: Bacterial large subunit ribosomal RNA
Source: RNAcentral
CGUAAUAGCUCACUGGUCGAGUCGGCCUGCGCGGAAGAUGUAACGGGGCUAAACCAUGCACCGAAGCUGCGGCAGCGACACUGUGUGUUGUUGGGUAGGGGAGCGUUCUGUAAGCCUGUGAAGGUGUGCUGUGAGGCAUGCUGGAGGUAUCAGAAGUGCGAAUGCUGACAUAAGUAACGAUAAAGCGGGUGAAAAGCCCGCUCGCCGGAA